GAUGAACGCUAGCGGCAGGCCUAAUACAUGCAAGGCGAGGGGUUCGCAAGAACACCGUCGUACGGGUGCGUAACGCGUUUGCAACCUACCUAUCACAGGGGGAUAGCCUUUGGAAACAGGGAUUAAUACCGCAUAAAGCAGGGGCUCGGCAUCGAGAUACUGCUAAAGAUUUAUCGGUGAUAGAUGGGCAUGCGUCUGAUUAGUUAGUUGGUGAGGUAAUGGCUCACCAAGACGAUGAUCAGUAGGGGGCGUCAGAGCGUGGUCCCCCACACUGGCACGGAGAUACGGGCCAGACUCCUACGGGGGGCAGCAGUAGGGAAUAUUGGGCAAUGGAUGCAAGUCUGACCCAGCCAUGCCGCGUGAGGGAAGAAGGUCCUCCGGAUUGUAAACUUCUUUUGUCGGGGAAGAAGAGUCCUCUUGCGAGGGGAUGUGACGGUACCCGAUGAAUAAGCCACGGCUAACUACGUGCCAGCAGCCGCCGUAA
RNAcentral lists this ribosomal RNA (484 nucleotides) under uncultured bacterium. RNAcentral's name for it is "partial 16S ribosomal RNA". It matches the Rfam family "Bacterial small subunit ribosomal RNA", at positions 28 to 523 of the family's 1533-position model. The record is from RNAcentral.